RNAcentral lists this ribosomal RNA (1136 nucleotides) under Marinomonas sp. HL711. RNAcentral's name for it is "partial 16S ribosomal RNA". Lineage: Bacteria; Pseudomonadati; Pseudomonadota; Gammaproteobacteria; Oceanospirillales; Oceanospirillaceae. The record is from RNAcentral.
GUACCGCCCUCCUCGAAAGGUUAAGCUAGCUACUUCUGGAGCAAUCAACUCCCAUGGUGUGACGGGCGGUGUGUACAAGGCCCGGGAACGUAUUCACCGUGACAUUCUGAUUCACGAUUACUAGCGAUUCCGACUUCAUGGAGUCGAGUUGCAGACUCCAAUCCGGACUACGACGCACUUUGUGGGAUUCGCUUACUUUCGCAAGUUCGCCGCCCUCUGUAUGCGCCAUUGUAGCACGUGUGUAGCCCUACUCGUAAGGGCCAUAUGACUUGAUAUCGUCCCCACCUUCCUCCGGUUUGUCACCGGCAGUCUCCUUAAAGUUCCCACCCGAAGUGCUGGCAAAUAAGGAUAAGGGUUGCGCUCGUUACGGGACUUAACCCAACAUUUCACAACACGAGCUGACGACAGCCAUGCAGCACCUGUCUCAGAGUUCCCGAAGGCACUAAGCUAUCUCUAGCGAAUUCUCUGGAUGUCAAGAGUAGGUAAGGUUCUUCGCGUUGCGUCGAAUUAAACCACAUGCUCCACCGCUUGUGCGGGCCCCCGUCAAUUCAUUUGAGUUUUAACCUUGCGGCCGUACUCCCCAGGCGGUCUACUUAUUGCGUUAGCUUCGCCACUAAGUCAUUACAACCCAACGGCUAGUAGACAUCGUUUACGGCGUGGACUACCAGGGUAUCUAAUCCUGUUUGCUCCCCACGCUUUCGCACCUCAGUGUCAGUAUCAAUCCAGAGUGUCGCCUUCGCCACUGAUGUUCCUUCCUAUAUCUACGCAUUUCACCGCUACACAGGAAAUUCCACACUCCUCUAUCGUACUCUAGCCUGCCAGUAUCGGGUGCCAUUCCAAGGUUGAGCCCUGGGCUUUCACAUCCGACUUAACAAACCACCUACGCGCGCUUUACGCCCAGUAAUUCCGAUUAACGCUUGCACCCUCUGUAUUACCGCGGCUGCUGGCACAGAGUUAGCCGGUGCUUCUUCUGAGGGUAACGUCACAGCUAUUGAGUAUUAAUCAAUAACCUUUCCUCCCCUCUGAAAGUGCUUUACAACCCUAAGGCCUUCUUCACACACGCGGCAUGGCUGGAUCAGGCUUGCGCCCAUUGUCCAAUAUUCCCCACUGCUGCCUCCCGUAGGAGUCUGGGCUGG